AUGUAGAAAAGAAAUACUUAAAUUACAGAACUAAUUUAAGCUAAGCAUUCAUAAGCUGCAUUUCUGUGUUGUUUAUUUUCAUAGACAUUGUUUGACAGCAACCCUUCCUUUAAAUCAUCACUGUCACAUGCAUUUCAUGAUUCUCCAGUGAACAGGAUGGCUACUAGCAGGCUGCUACCUUUUCUGUUUGCUUAAGUCUGUGCAUAUGCCAAGGCUUGUUUCAUGUGCUGUGACUCUUCAACUUUGCCUUCACCCAGGUUAAUGUAAAUACCAGAUCCAUUGUCUGCAUUCCACUAACUUCAGUAGUUCUAAACCUUCUGUCUAAGUUGCCCUUGAAAGGCUGCACUUGUUUUGUGAAGCAUGCUGCAUGAAGGAUGUUA
Pezoporus flaviventris is the source of this 380-nucleotide long non-coding RNA. RefSeq lists it as uncharacterized. The record is from RefSeq and is a predicted model, not a curated record. The transcript has 2 exons. NCBI's taxonomy places the organism in Eukaryota, Metazoa, Chordata, Aves, Psittaciformes, Psittacidae.